This 256-nucleotide ribosomal RNA is filed under the name uncultured Oscillospiraceae bacterium. RNAcentral's name for it is "partial 16S ribosomal RNA". It matches the Rfam family "Bacterial small subunit ribosomal RNA", at positions 83 to 339 of the family's 1533-position model. Lineage: Bacteria; Bacillati; Bacillota; Clostridia; Eubacteriales; Oscillospiraceae. The record is from RNAcentral.
AGAUAUGACUUAGUGGCGGACGGGUGAGUAACACGUGAGCAACCUGCCUUUCAGAGGGGGAUAACGGCUGGAAACGGUCGCUAAUACCGCAUGACGUGUUCGGAUGGCAUCAUCUGAACAUCAAAGAUUUAUCGCUGAGAGAUGGACUCGCGUCCGAUUAGCUAGAUGGUGAGGUAACGGCCCACCAAGGCGACGAUCAGUAGCCGGACUGAGAGGUUGACCGGCCACAUUGGGACUGAGAUACGGCCCAGACUCC